UUUAGUACAGUGUGAUUUCCAAGGAAAACAUUGUAGGUUAUUGCAAGAUUCUGUCCAUUUACUAGUGCAGGCGCCUCCAACCCCAUCACAACACUUGCAUACAACUCCAAGCGUUGCAAAAAUCUUUGAAUACCCUACAAUUACAUCACAUAUAUAAAUCAAUAAACAGCCAAAAAAGAAUUUAACUAGAAUGAACUAAUAAAAUCAUAGAUUGUUAUAUAUAGUAAUAACUUUUUUAUAUGAAAAAAUCUGUUGGAGAUAUUAAAAAAUCUAACUGAUCAUAUUAAAAAAUCAGUGCUAGUUGGUAUACAUAAUAAGAGUAUAUUAAUUUUUAUGAUAAUUAUUUUAAAAAUUAUAUCUAAGAGAAAUUCUAAUUAGUUAAUGGUAUAAUUAUCUUUGUAUUAAAAAUUGGACACCGCAACAAAAUCAACUAGCACUGAUUUUGUUAACCUGCAUGUGCAAAUCCUCUGAUUUUGUUAACUUGUUAAACAUUCUUUAAUUUUUAUUAUUUCUAUUGUUUUCUAGUACACCAGUACACCCGUUUCUCCUUCACGAGGAUUGAAAAUAUUAUUUAUCUUAAAUAUUAAUAUAGAUUUAUGUUUUAUGUUAACAAAAUAAAAGCAAAACUCAUUAUGCACUGAGUUUUAAAGAAUGAGAAAUUAACUUGUUAAGAUUCUUUUCUAAAAUGUUUUUUAUUUCUCCCAUUUAUUGUAUUUUAAAAACUAUAUUUUACCAUAUACUUUAAUAAAUUAUAUAUCUAUAAUUGACAACAAUAAUUAAUGAUUAAAAAUAUUAUACUUUACAAUCAAUAAUUAAAAAAUUAAUUAUAAAUAAUUCCUGCUAUAAAUUUAAAAAAUAUUUAUAUAUUUAAAAUAUUCAUGAAUACUAUUUACUUGUGUAUAACACGAAUCAAUUAGAGUUGCUAACUAGUGAUAUAAAAUUAUUAUCAUUAGUUAUGAAAAAUAAUUAACUCAUUUGAAUCUAUUUAAUAUAUCUAUCUAUGUAAAGGAAGUUUGAAUUUAUAUGAAUCGUUAGAUCAAAAUUUUUAAAUUAAUUUAAAGUUACUUUUAAAUUGAAAACACUGUGUUCUUGCGUCUUGAAAUUUGACAAGUCACUAUAAAAAUUCAGAAAUUGUGAAAAUUCAGAAAUGUAUUAUGAAAAUUCAGAAAUUGUAACAUAUCCAGCAGAAAAGAUGUUUAUUUAUAGUCCAGAACAUAAGAUAGAAAAGAUAUUUUCUUAAAAGCAAGUAGAUGCAUCAUAUAAAAAAGUAUCCAAUAACUCUAGUUAUGCAUGGAAUCUGAUAUUUUUUUUUGGCUUCCUAAGCACUCUAAUAUGACUGAAAUCUUCAAAAGUUCAAACUGAUCAAUCCUCACACUUCCACUUGGUAGAUAUACCACUCAAUUAUUAGUAGAUACUUAUUGUUCUAUUAUUUCUAAAUCUUCAGGAAUACUAAAGGGUGAUCAAGAAAGGACUCUCACAAGUCAAAUUGCACCAAAUUGCUAUCCGCAUUUGAGACUGGAAAAGUCAAGCUUUUUUGUAAAACAAAACUUCAAGCGGAAAUUUAAGAUGGUACAAGUAUAUAUAGAAGUGGAUGGAUUAUGAAGGUAGCUGAAUCAAAUGCUUUAGCUCUAUCAAUUUUUGUAAAGGAAAGUGAGCAUUGGCUAAAAGGGAAAGACUAGAGAGCAAAGAAGGAUCAGGAAGGCUCCUUAUAGGGCUCCUUAUAGGGAUAGCUUCAUUUUAUUUUAAUGGUUAUCAGAUCCAGAGUUGUAGUUGCACUCACUAUAUGCUAUGGGAACUAAAAUCAAUAUAUAAGAAACCAUAUAGAGCACUAAGUCACAGCUAGAUUCCAUCUAUAUUGUCCAAAUAUCUAUCAAUUUUGUACCUCAAGUUUAUAAACAUUAGAUUCAUUUGUCUUUUUAUUUUAUAGAAAUUAAUUAAGCAAUUAGUAUAAAAAUUAUUAAUCUUCAUUAAAAUAGAAUUAUCAUAAACAAUAUGAUGCAUCAGUAACAUAUACCUCAAUUUUCCAUGUUAAUAAAUUUGUAUGUUAACGCCAUAUAUUAUACUUUUAUCAUAAAUUUAUAAUUUAUAAUAAUAUAUAUACAAUAACAGAAACGCACCUAACAACUCAUCAUUAAGUUUAUGAUUUUUUUUAGGUGAGCCAUUCAAGCAACCAACAUAUAUCUUAAUGUCCAAAACAAAAAGAAGUUACCUGUUUUCCAUGUGAAGACAAACUUUUAUGCAGUUCCUCUAGAGCAGUGAUUCCAGCGGUGUCAAUGUUCACCAAAUCUAUCGGAAGAAAAGCCUCAUGAAUCAAAUAAUAAUACACAUGCACUUUGUUAUUUUAAACACCAUAUUAAUAUUUCUUAUUUCUUUUUCUCUUUCUUUUCAUCACAUCACAAAAUCUAUCAAAUCUAUAUACUUUUUUCUUUUUCUAGGUGUUCAAUGGGUAUUAACUAGAGUAGUUCAUGUAUCAUUUUUCUUUUAAUAAUAAUAAAAAAAAAACAGCAGCUGAUCGAAAUUGUAAAAUUUUUAACCACAUUGCUUUCUCACCAAUGGUCUUAUGUAUAAUAUUCUAAGAUGUAUAUAUGUGUACUUUUUUCGAACUUUACGUAAUCAGUUAUUAUAGGUACUUUAGUAAAAGUAAAAGGUGCAAAAUAUGCUGUUAAUUUCAUUUUCUUUUCCUUUUUGUGGAAAGAUCAAUAUCCUCCUAUAUUUAAUAACGAGAGUCAGAAAGUCUUACUGGAGGUGUCAAGCCUUACUGGAGGUGUCAAGAAUUAAAAGUGAAAAGCCUUACUGACAUCUCUUCCGUUUUCUUUUCUUUAAAAACUACAAGAUAUAAUAUGUUUUUCAUAUACUAAUAGAUUUCAUUUUCAGUAUAUUACCUAAUUUUUUAUUAUAUCUAACAUUUUCAAAAUUUUAUUUUUGAUGCUUUCUAUUAAUUUUUAUUUAUCAAUUAAAUGAUAACGUGACAAAUUAUCAUAAUAUCAAUUAUCAAAUAAAUAAUGAUAUGAUAAACUAAUAGAACAUCACAUUAGCAUAAUGAUAUUAAAAAUAAAAGAAAGCCAACCUGCAUAUGCAAAUC
RNAcentral lists this long non-coding RNA (3082 nucleotides) under Glycine max (soybean). RNAcentral describes it as "long non-coding RNA (GMAX_LNC002629)". The record is from RNAcentral. Lineage: Eukaryota; Viridiplantae; Streptophyta; Magnoliopsida; Fabales; Fabaceae.